CACUGAAGCAGUAGAUGAGUGAGUGAAUGGCUACAAAAUUCAAUCGUGACAGAAUGGAACACUGGAACCCAUCUUGGAAAUCUACUCACUCAACCUUGAAGACUGUAAAACACUGGCAUGUGUAUGUGUGGGGGGGCUUUUCUUGUCACAUACUGGACCCUGCACACAGGCACAAUCAGGUCUCUCAUGGAGGCGAACUGCUCGGUCCCCGCCGUGUCCAGGAUUUCCAGCACGGAGGGAGACGA
Long non-coding RNA from Solea senegalensis (Senegalese sole), 245 nucleotides. RefSeq lists it as uncharacterized. The record is from RefSeq and is a predicted model, not a curated record. NCBI's taxonomy places the organism in Eukaryota, Metazoa, Chordata, Actinopteri, Pleuronectiformes, Soleidae. The transcript is spliced from 3 exons.